Molecule: RNA transcript, 5517 nt
Organism: Balaenoptera musculus (blue whale)
Lineage: Eukaryota; Metazoa; Chordata; Mammalia; Artiodactyla; Balaenopteridae
Gene: UBE3B
Gene name: ubiquitin protein ligase E3B
Exons: 29
Source: RefSeq, a predicted model, not a curated record
GAGUGAACACCCCGGGGCAAGAUGGCGGUCAGGCCUCGGCUCCUGCCCCGGGUCAGGCAGAGCUCGGGGGUCUUGGGCUGAGGCGGUGGUAAACUGCGGCCCCGACCCCGACCGCGGGGGCCUCGAGCGGAUAAAGGUCUACGGCCUGCGGAAAACACAAGCUCCUCUGAAGUGAGAAGCUGUCCUCAGCUGUGAGCCCUGUGCAAAAUCACUAAUGACUGAUUACCUGACAUUUCUGCGUCACCGGCAGGUCCUCAGGGUUUGUGCAAGUUUGCAGACAUGUUCACUGUUUCUCAGACCUCGAGAGCUUGGUUCAUUGAUAGAGCCCGUCAGGCUCGAGAGGAAAGGCUGGUGCAGAAGGAGCGGGAGAGGGCAGCUGUGGAGAUUCAGGCCCACGUACGGAGUUUUCUCUGUCGGCGUCGACUGCAAAGGGAAGUCAGGAGAGAGAUUGAUGAGUUUUUUAAAGAAGAUGACUCUGGGUCCAGUAAAAGAAGUGCACUUUGUAUUUUUAAGACUGCCAGGAAACUGCUGUUCUUGUUCAGAAUUAAAGAGGAUGAUGAGAGAUUUGAGAAGUUGUGUCGCUGCAUCCUGAGCAGCAUGGAUGCUGAGAAUGAACCCAAGGUAUGGUACGUGUCCCAGGCUCUUUCCAAGGAUCUCACCCUCCUAUGGAUUAAACAGAUCAAAGACAUUCUGUGGUAUUGCUGUGAGUUUCUUGAGCAGCUCAAGCCUGAAAUUUUACAAGACUCCAAACUCAUCACACUGUACCUCACGAUGCUUGUCACCUUUACAGACACUUCAACAUGGAAAAUUCUCCGGGGAAAAGGUGAGAGUCUUCGACCAGCCAUGAACCGCAUUUGUGCAAAUAUAAUGGGCCAUCUCAACCAGCAUGGAUUUUAUUCUGUGCUGCAGGUAUUGUUAACCCGUGGCCUGGCGAGACCCCGACCUUGUCUGUCCAAAGGCACUUUAACAGCAGCCUUUUCCCUAGCAAUGCGCCCUGUGAUUGCUGCACAAUUUUCAGACAAUCUGAUCCGGCCGUUCCUCAUCCACAUCUUGUCUGUGCCCGCUCUCGUGACUCAUCUCAGCACAGUGACCCCCGAGCGCCUCACUAUUUUAGAAUCUCAUGACAUGCUCCGUAAAUUCAUCACAUUUUUAAGAGACGAAGAUCGAUGCCGUGAUGUAUGUGAAAGUUUAGAAGGAUGCCAUACACUUUGUCUCAUGGGCAACCUCCUGCACUUGGGCUCCCUCAGCCACAGGGUGUUAGAGGAGGAGACAGAUGGGUUUGUGAGUUUGCUCACCCAAAUGCUCUGCUACUGUCAGAAGUACGUGUCCCAGAAGAAAUCCAACCUGACCCACUGGCACCCUGUCCUUGGCUGGUUCUCCCAAUCCGUGGACUAUGGCCUUAACGAGUCCAUGCCCUUGGUCACCAGACAGCUGCAGUUCCUGUGGGGGGUGCCUCUGAUCCGCAUCUUCUUCAGUGACAUCCUGAGCAAGAAGCUGCUGGAGAACCAGGAGCCGGUCCACGCGCCGCCAGCGUCCCCACAGAAUGUGCUUCCCGUGAAGACUCUCCUGAAACGUGCAUUUCAGAAGUCGGCGUCAGUUCGGAAUAUUCUCAGGCCUGUUGGGGGUAAACGUGUUGAUUCUGCGGAGGUACAGAAGGUUUGCAACAUCUGCGUCCUCUACCAGACCUCGCUGACGACUCUUACCCAGAUCCGGCUGCAGAUACUCACAGGUCUCACUUACCUUGAUGACCUGCUGCCCAAACUUUGGGCGUUUAUCUGUGAACUGGGGCCCCACGGAGGGUUAAAGCUCUUCUUGGAAUGCCUCAACAAUGACACUGAAGAGUCUAAGCAGCUCUUGGCCAUGCUGAUGCUGUUCUGUGACUGUUCCCGGCACCUCAUCACGAUCCUUGAUGACAUUGAAGUUUAUGAAGAACAGAUUUCAUUCAAACUGGAAGAACUGAUCACCAUCUCCUCUUUUCUGAAUUCCUUUGUGUUUAAGAUGAUCUGGGAUGGAAUCGUAGAGAAUGCCAAGGGCGAGACCUUGGAGCUGUUCCAGUCCGUCCACGGGUGGCUGAUGGUGCUGUACGAGCGGGACUGCCGGCGGCGCUUCGCCCCCGAGGACCACUGGCUGCGAAAGGAUCUCAAACCUAGCGUGCUUUUCCAGGAACUUGACAAGGACAGAAAACGGGCUCAGCUGAUCCUGCAGUACAUCCCGCACGUCAUUCCUCACAAAAACAGAGUUCUCCUGUUCCGAAACAUGGUGACCAAGGAGAAGGAGAAACUGGGGCUUGUGGAAACCAGCUCCGCCUCCCCUCAUGUCACUCACAUCACCAUCCGCCGGUCCCGGAUGUUGGAGGAUGGCUACGAGCAACUUCGGCAGCUCUCCCAGCACGCCAUGAAGGGCGUCAUCCGCGUGAAGUUUGUCAAUGACCUCGGGGUGGACGAGGCAGGGAUUGAUCAAGAUGGCGUUUUCAAGGAGUUCUUGGAAGAGAUCAUCAAGAGGGUGUUUGACCCGGCGCUCAACCUGUUCAAGACGACCAGUGGGGACGAGAGACUCUACCCUUCGCCCACGUCCUACAUUCAUGAGAAUUACCUGCAGCUCUUUGAGUUUGUGGGCAAGAUGCUGGGGAAAGCUGUGUAUGAGGGGAUUGUGGUGGACGUGCCCUUUGCAUCCUUCUUCCUGAGCCAGCUGCUCGGGCACCACCACAGUGUCUUCUACAGCUCUGUGGAUGAACUGCCUUCUCUGGACUCCGAGUUCUAUAAAAACCUCACUUCCAUUAAGCGGUACGAUGGGGACAUUGCUGACUUGGGCCUGACACUGUCAUAUGAUGAGGAUGUCAUGGGUCAGCUUGUUUGCCAUGAACUGAUUCCUGGAGGGAAGACCAUUCCUGUUACAAAUGAAAAUAAAAUUAGCUACAUCCAUCUGAUGGCCCACUUUCGAAUGCACACUCAAAUCAAGAACCAGACAGCUGCCCUCAUUAGUGGAUUCCGUUCCAUCAUCAAACCUGAGUGGACCCGGAUGUUCUCGACCCCUGAGCUACAGCGACUCAUCUCCGGGGACAAUGCUGAGAUCGAUCUGGAAGAUUUAAAGAAGCACACAGUGUACUACGGUGGUUUCCAUGGAAGUCACAGGGUCAUUAUCUGGCUCUGGGAUAUCCUGGCCUCUGACUUCACGCCCGACGAGAGAGCCAUGUUUCUGAAGUUUGUGACCAGCUGCUCCAGGCCCCCUCUCCUGGGAUUUGCCUACCUCAAGCCUCCCUUCUCCAUCCGCUGUGUGGAAGUGUCGGAUGAUCAGGACACCGGGGACACCCUGGGCAGCGUCCUGCGCGGCUUCUUUACCAUCCGCAAACGGGAGCCAGGUGGCCGCCUGCCCACCUCCUCCACCUGCUUCAACCUGCUCAAGCUGCCCAACUACAGCAAGAAGAGCGUCCUGCGGGAGAAGCUGCGCUACGCCAUCAGCAUGAACACGGGCUUCGAGCUCUCCUAGCUCCCGUCCUCGCAGACUCUGGGCUCCCAGGCACCCUCAGCCCCAAGAGGCAGCAUUCCCCUGGGAGCACGACUGACGUGCCAGGGGACGGUGGCCCCCAUACCCUCUCUAUAGCCAUGAGACCCCUCUGUGGCCUCAAGAACUUUGGAUGCACGUGACAAAGCUACCCAGCACUCUCCAGGUGACACUAACAGGAAGGGGGUGUUGAAAAUAAACCUCCAGAUUCCGCCAGCAUUGGUCCUUCUUUCCUACUUUACAGUGGCCUGAAGCCGAGGCCUGUGAUGGCAGUGGGGCUUCUCUUUUUGUUAAUUUGGUCUUUUCGUGAGUUUCUGUUCCUUAACUUUCUGAGCGAGCCAUGCAUGAACAAGUCCCAGGAACACCAAGGCUCCGGAGUGGUUUUCAGGGCAUGGGCCUGAAUGCACGAAGCCGACCAAACGUGAGAUGCUCCCCUUCCGUUUCUGAAAACUCUUUACUCAGGUAAGGCCUUGCCAAGCCUCUAUGCACCCGACAGAGUCUCAGCGUCCGUGCCGUCCGCAGCAGCCUCUCUCCAGAUAGCCAGGCCCACCUGCUCCCAGGCGGCAGAGGUGCCUGCCGGUGAGACCACGGAGCACCGGAAGCUCAGGGCGCUGCUCCCUCCUCAGAGCCACGAGUUCCACUCGGCGGCGGUCCUCUGCCCGUUCUCACCUCAGAUGCUCCGGGUCCUCAGCAGCCGGGCUGCCAGGGAGCCCCUUCUGGCUUGCUCCCGUCUUGGGCACUCACGUUGGCAUCCUGAGUUUGGGAGAAAAAAACCCAUCGGUCCUUAAGAGCAGCUCCGUUUCCAGAAGGCGCUAGCUGUUACUCGAAGCCUGCUGAUUCCUGGGGAGGGCGGCUGCCUUUCCCCUGCUUGUUGGCCACACUUGUCGUCUAGUGAGGAACAAACACCAACUGAAGGAGCACUUUCCAACCGAGUGCCUGGAGAGCUCAAGAUGGGGCAUCUGGGGCUUAAAGAGCAUGCAGGCUCCCACCGUGGGAAGAAGACACAGAGGAUGAUACAGCAGACAGCCGGGGCUCACUGCCUCACCAGGGCCAACAGUGGUGGACAGUGUGUCACCUUUCAGAUAAAGCCAAAGCCCCCGUAGGCACCCUUCGUGCUCCCCAUCCUUCUCACGCAUUUCCCACAGGCAGCUUCCACCCUGGAUUAGACGCCUUCCACAGUAACGUAAAAUGGUGACAGGUGUUCGCGGAAAAGAAUCCAGAUAAUUCAAAAGUGCUCAAAGUAAGAUUUUCCAGCUAAUCUGGGUGUAUUCGGCUUUCCUCCAUUACUGAGGGUCGCAUUUGCAGGACACGCCGGCCCUGUCUCUUCCUGUUACACAAGCCCAGGUUUACACUCAGCAGAAAGCCCAUCUCAACCCUGCCAGUCUUUCCAGCUCCUCCCGUGAGUUCUUGCUGCCUCCCCUGGCCUGGGGGCACCUGAGGAUCUGAGCAUCAGGAGAGAGGUCUUGAAAGCCUGACAGUUGGGCCACAUGGGCUCCCAAGAGGAAUUGGCAUAUGCCAGGCUCCCUCCCACAGAGCAUUUAUAUCCUGCAAAGGAAAAACAUUCUGCAGAGUCCCCCACAUCCAUCAGUGGCCUCCAGUGUGGGACGCGCCCACCUAAACUAAAGCCUUAUCCUAUGAUAUUUUGGCUUUUAAUUACAAGUUAGUACUGCAAAGAGAAAGUUUGUCUUUAUAACUAGGAAAAACAAGUGGGGUGUUUUCCAUUACUAUUAAAAUGAGGACAAUUCAAUACACUGAUAGAACUUGCAAGUGCCUAAGAAUAUUUAGGUGGAACACAGGUCACCACUGUUUCUGACUCCAGCAAAGCCAUCAGCCUAUGUUUGUGCUGCUGAUGCAGCCGAUACACGCUGCUAACUGUGAGAGGUACGGACAGGCAGGUUGUCUCUAAGCCUGGCUAACGUGUAGACCCAGGGCCCCCCUUAGGCUGAAGUCUUAUUUCCUGGAAAUGUCUUAAAUUGAUAAGAGCUGGUGGAGAACUGUGGAAAGUGUUCAUUCGGU